RNAcentral lists this transfer RNA (72 nucleotides) under bacterium. RNAcentral describes it as "tRNA-Arg". It matches the Rfam family "tRNA". Rfam says of the family: Transfer RNA (tRNA) molecules are approximately 80 nucleotides in length. Their secondary structure includes four short double-helical elements and three loops (D, anti-codon, and T loops). The record is from RNAcentral.
GCGCCCAUAGCUUAACGGAUAAAGCGUAAGCCUCCGGAGCUUAAAAUCGAAGUUCGAUUCUUCGUGGGCGCA